This 15333-nucleotide long non-coding RNA is filed under the name Oryza sativa (Asian cultivated rice). RNAcentral's name for it is "long non-coding RNA (OSAT_LNC000044)". Lineage: Eukaryota; Viridiplantae; Streptophyta; Magnoliopsida; Poales; Poaceae. The record is from RNAcentral.
GGAAGCAGACCACAUCAAACAACUUUGUUUCUUCGAUCUCAUGCAAAGAGACAGAAUUACAUUUCUUCUGUUGAACAAAAGGGAUAUAUAUUUAUGGAUAUUGCUACCACAAGGCAUGAAUCAUGAAUAUGACCUUGUCGUACAGUUUGCUCAUGUGCACAUCAGCACAUACAUAUGUAACUAUCUAGAAGAACCAAGAAAGUAUAUAUUGGAUGCAUACAAAAAAAAAUUGAAGGGGAUUAAUCGCAAUGCGCAUGCACUUUAGCCGCUAGAGAAGUGUUUACAUACAUGCAUGCCAGAUUCUUUAGCUUUAUGGAUCACUUCUCAUUGAUGACGACGUCGUCGUCGUCGUUAAUCUCUCCAUGGAGCUUAGUAUCCUUGGAACUGAGGUGGUGGAGGUGAGGCGUACUGGUGCGCCAUCACCGGCGGUAAGAGUACAGUAGUGUCGAACGCCGGUGGAGCUUCAGCUUCCAUUGCUGGUGGAGGUUUAGAUUCCUUUGCAGGUGGAGCUUCAGCUUCCUUUGCUGGUGGCGGCAAUGACUCCUGUUUCGGUGGGGGGAGGGAGACCUGCGGAACUGGUGGGGGAAGAGGCUUCACCGCUGGUGGUGGUAGGCUGACUGGUGCUGGUGGGGGAAGAGGCUUCACCGCUGGUGGUGGUAGGCUGACUGGUGCUGGUGGGGGAAGUGACUUCACGACGGGUGGUGGUAGGCUGACCGGUGCUGGUGGGGGAAGCGACUUCACCGGUGGUGGUGGUAGGCUGACCGGUGCCGGUGGGGGAAGAGACUUCACCGCUGGUGGUGACAAGAUCACAGGUGCUGCUGGUGGUGGUGACUUCUCUGGAGGUGGUGGCGAGAUGACCGGUGCAGGUGGAGGUGGAGACUUCACAGGUGGGGGUGGCAAGAUGACUGGUGCGGGAGGAGGUGGAGACUUCACAGGUGGGGGUGGCGAGAUGACCGGUGCUGGUGGUGGUGGAGACUUCACAGGAGGAGGUGGCAAGAUAACUGGUGCUGGUGGUGGUGGGGACUUAACUGGAGGAGGUGGCGAGAUGACUGGAGCCGGUGGGGGAGGAGAUUUAAUUGGAGGAGGCGGCAAGAUCACCGGAGCUGGCGGGGGUGGAGACUUCUCCGGAGGUGGCGGUGAGCUCACAGGAACCGGUGGGGGCAAAGGCUUAACUGUUGGAGGCGGCAAGCUCACUGUAGCCGGUGGAGGAAGAGACUUCUCAGUUGGUGGAGAUGAAGCCUUGGGGACUGAGGGAGGAGAUGAUUCCUCAGGAGUUGAUGGCGGGUAAGACUUCUCUGGUGUUUCUGGCGGGCUAAUUGGUUCAUGUGGAGGUGAAGACUUUGCUGGCGGUGGUUCCGAGGUCACUGGCACUUGCGGCGGUGAAGACUUUGUUGGUGGUGGUUCUGAGAUAACCGGUGCGUGUGGUGGUGAAGACUUCACUGGUGGAAGUACUGACUCAACUGGAGAUGGCGGUGGCUGGGACUUCUCGGCUGGUGGUGGACUUGAUUUCACUGGAGAUGGAGGCAUGUACUCUUCUUCCGAUGGUGGAGAACUAUUUAUUGUUGGUGUGUGUGGUGGUAGUGGCUUUUCUGGAGGUGGAGUUGAUUUCGCCGGAGAUGGAGGAACGUACUCCUCGUGAGAUGGUGGAGAGCUCUUUGGUGUUGGUGACGGUGGUGGUUCUGACUCCUCAGAUGGUGGGGAUGAGCUCUCCGGAGUAUGUGAUGGUGGGGACUUCUCUUCUGGAGGUGGAGUUGAUUUUGCCGGAGAUGGAGGAACGUACUCCUCGUGAGAUGGUGGAGAGCUCUUUGGUGUUGGUGUCGGUGGUGGUUCUGACUCCUUAGAUGGUGGGGAUGAGCUCUCCGGAGUAUGUGAUGGUGGGGACUUCCCUUCCGGAGGUGGAGAGAUCUCCGGUGUUAGCGUUGGUGGAGACUUUGUCUCUGGUGGUGGUGGAGACUUUUCAGGUGGUGGUGGUGAACUAACAUGAGCUUCUGGUGGUGGCGAGGAAGAUUUUUCUGGUGGUGGUGAGCUAACAUGAGCUUCUGGUGGUGGUGAGGAAGAUUUCACUGGGGAUGGUGGAGUGCCUUCAUGACCCGAUGGUGGUGAUGGAGAUUUUUCCGGAGUUGGCGGAGAACUCUCUUCAGCUGGUGUUGGAGGUGACUUCUCCGAGGGAGGUGGAGAAGUUGGGUGAGCCUCUGAUGGUGGUGACUUUUCUGGGGAAUGUGGUGGAGGAGACUUCUCUUCUGGUGGCGAUGACUUUGGUGGGGAAGGUGUGUAUUCCUCUGGAGUUGGAGGUGAUGUAUGCGAGGUCGGCGGUAUAGGAGGAGACUUCUCUUCUGGUGGUGAUGACUUUGGUGGGGAAGGUGUGUGGCCCUCCGGAGCGGGUGGUGGUGGAGAUGAGGCUUCCGACUCAGGCGUGGGAGGAGACUUCUCAACUGGUGGCGUCGACUUUGGCGGGGAAGGCAUGUGGCCCUCUGGAGCGGGUGGUGGUGGAGAGGAGGAUUCCGACUCAGGUGUAGGAGGAGACUUCUCAGUUGGCGGUGUCGACUUUGGCGGGGAAGGUGUGUGGCCCUCUGGAGUGGGUGGUGGUGGAGAUGAGGCUUUCGACUCGGGUGUAGGAGGAGAUUUCUCAGAUGGUGGUGUCGACUCUGGCGGGGAAGGUGUGUGGCCCUCUGGAGCGGGUGGUGGUGGAGAUGAGGCUUUCGACUCAGGUGUAGGAGGAGACUUCUCAGCUGGUGGUGUCGAUUUUGGCGGGGAAGGUGUGUAUUCUUCUGGAGUCGGUGGAGGCGAGGCUUUUGACUCAGGUGUAGGAGGAGACUCCCCAGCAGGUGGUCCCGACUUUGGUGGGGAAGGUGUGUGGCCCUCUGGUACCGGUGGUGGCGAGUGCGAGGCCGUCGGCGUAGGAGGGGACUUCCCUUCAGGUGGUGGCGAGCUCUCUGGAGUUGCAGGUGGGGAGUACUCAGUAGGAGGCUCCGCUUGUGGCGGAGGUGCCUUCUUGCGCUCGGGACUCUUGGGGAGCCAACCCGAACUUGGUGGCGGUGGAGCACCAUACUCUGCCGGCGGCGAUGUCACUCCCUUGAUGGCGGGUGCCGGAGGCGGCGCCAUCUUGGCCGGUGACUCUGGGCUGCUUGGUGUCGGCGACGGUGUUGGUUCCUCGGGUGGUUCCUCAGGUGACUCCUCCUCUGGAGGUGGCGGGCCGUGCGACGUCGGGGUGGAAGGCGCGGCCGGUGGUUCCUCGUAAGCCGGCGAUUUCUCCGGCGGCCCCACCGGCACCGGGAUGAGCGGCGGCUUCUCCGGCGGCUCCGACGGCUUCCCGGGCGUCGGGUGUCCGGGGCAGACGUGCUUGCUGCAGUCGACGGGGCGGGCGAGCACGGGGGCGCACUGCAGCGUCGUCUUCUGCGCCGGUCGGAGCGCGCCGAGGCAGUUGUCCUUGUCGUCGAGGUUGACCUUGCUGCUCUCCGACGGCAUGCACGGCGCCGACUCGGAGUUGAAGAAGUUGUAGGCGAAGCUGAAGUUGACGAGCACGGGGAGCUCGCAGAUGGACUCGUGGACGAUGCCGGUGAAGACGUUCCUGGACACGUCCAGCUGCUCCAGCUUGCUGCAGUUGGAGAGCGAGGUGGGCAGCGUGCCGACGAGGACGUUGCCGCUGAUGUCGAUGACGUAGGUGUUCUGCAGGUAGCCCAUCUCCAUGGGCACGCAGCCGUCGAGCUUGUUGUUCAUGAAGCUGAUCUCGUCGAGCGUUUUGGCCAUGCAGCCGAUGCUCUUGGGGAUGCAGCCGACGAAGGCGUUGUUGGCGAAGACGAUGACGGAGGCGGUGGAGUUGCCGAGGUUGCCCGGGAUGUAGCCGACGAAUCGGUUGCUGUUGACGAAGAUGGCGUCGAGCUCCUUGUCGAACAGCGCCGGCGGCAGCUCGCCCUCGAAGUCGUUGAAGCGGAUGUCGAGGUACUUGAGCACGGCCAUCUCGAGGCAGACGUGGGGGAAGACGCCGACGAAGCGGUUGUGGCUGACGUCGAACUCGUGCAGCAGCGACAGCCUCGACAUGCUCUUGGGGAUGAUGCCGCAGAAGCGGUUGGUGUUGAUGUGGAAGAAGGCGAGGUCGGUGAGGAGGCCGAGCUCCGGCGGGAGGUACCCGGCGAUGUCGGCGCCGUUGAGGUCGAUGCCGGCGACCACCAUGAUCUUGGGGUCGUCGAUGGCGGCGUAGCAGAUGACGCCGUUGUAGGAGCACACGUCGUUGCCCGUCCAGUUGUUGGUGUACCCCUUGGGGUCCGAGUAGAACGCGCGCCGCCACGCCUGGAGCGCGAUGUACGCCUUGCGGAGCCGCGGGUUCGGGAAGUCGCCGACGGCGACUCCGACGCGGUCGUCGAAGUCGAAGUCAUCGGACGGCAGGUCGCCCUCCUCGCUCACGCCGGCCUCCUUCAUCGCCAGCAGCUGCCGGUGCGCGAUGUACGACACCUCGGCGCUGGUCACCGCGCCGACGUUGGCGGCGGAGGAGAGGCAGGCGGCGAGGACGGCGAGAAUCAGUGCCAUGGCGGCGCGGCGCCCGCCGGGGGCGAGGAGGAGCCGGAGGUCCAUGGCGAAGGUGGUGGGGUGUGGGUCGAUGGAAUGGAGAGGCGUGGAGAUGGUGGAUAUAUGGGCGAGCCCCCUGCCCCGCCAUGGGCGACGAUGGGUGGUGGCCGGCGACGCCGCGCGCUGCGGGCGCGGGUGUCGCGUCGCGUCGCGUUGGCUUGGCUUCGGUUGGCUCCGCUGUUUUGGCGCGAGGUAGGAGAAGCUGUCUCUCUGGUUUGUUUGACCAUCUCAUAUUUACUAUUUUUACUGCUAUGUGUUUUUCUCAAUCUCUCUCUCUCUUUUUCUUCUAAUUACAAAUCGAGCUGAUUGAUAAAUACAGUUCUAACUUCCUACUAUUGAUACCAAGAAGAUUAUGUGUGUCUGUUCUACUUACUAGUAUACUACUGCUCACCUCUGUUUUUUUUUUAACAUUUUCACGGGAUAAGUCAACUGUUAAUUGGUUGUUUUUAAAUAAUGGAUUAUCCGGCCUUUACUGGAUGCUAAUUGCAUGAUAAUUUGCUUAUACUUUAGCCAGGGAUGAAAAUGGCCACGAAAAUGCCAGAUCGAUCCAACGGGGUUUGAGCAUGGCUGUUACCGUUUCCAACUGUUUCCGUUUGUAGACAUAUAUAAAUUUUGUUUUUUCUGUAAUUUUUUUCAACGUCGAAUUAGCGUUGUUACUAAAUAAUUAAAUUGAUAAACAUGGUUAGCUCUCGUCCCACCAUGAAUCGUUUUCAAAGAGAUGUUACCAACUCCGACCAUUUUUUCCCUAUUUUUAGCCGCAUGGUCGAUUACAUCAACUCAAAUACAAUUCUAAUAAUAACUUCCUACAAAUAUGUUUUUCUCCAAAGAUAGAUGUAUUUGCAAUAAACACAAAUCCUAUGACUUACUUUAUGUAAAUUGGAGGAUAACCAGAAGUGACAUUUGUCUCUCAGGAACCCAGGGCACAACACAAAUUAAAUUAGGCGAUCAUUUGGAUAUAAAUUGAAUGAGAACAGAGCAGCCAAUGGACUACUCAUGCUCAAGAAACCAAACAACCAACAUAAAUACAGAGUCGGACCAGAUCUAUCAUCACAUUCUACAUUUCUACAUGCACAUAGUGCUUGCCUAGCUUGCUGGGGCAACUGAAAACUUAGGGAAGAUGCAUGUUUUGGUGACUCAUGUAAGCAUCAUGUCUUGCAACCAUGGGCAAGAGAGGCAUCAGGAAUGCAGCUUCCCGGGUCAUCCUAUGCUGUAGUGCUGUCGUUAACGGUAGAGGUUUGGAAAACCGACGAUAUCUAACGGGAUAGCGGUAUGAAUGUGUUUGAUCCACCAUCACAUCACAUGAUCAUCGGUGAGCAUACAGCGAUGGCGGAGCUGGACCUUCUUGCACUAUUAGUUCCGGAGUCCUACCAUGAUCACGAUCUGUUAGUUUUCUUGACUUGACACUGGAUCGAAUGCUAGGCUGUUUUGCGGAAGCUAGAGGCAAAUCGAGAAAGAUUACUGCUGGGGGCCAGAUUGGUAAGAAAUGGCAAAUGAUAUCUUCAACUCGUAGUUUGGCUGGGGGACGGGAAUCAGAAGAUUGGGAGACUGAAGAUCAUACCUGAUGCUGGCUGUUUUUGGAUAAUCUGGGCGCGAGAUGAAGACAAAUGUCAUCCUGGUUAGCUUUUUGGCUGGGUUCAGUGAUCAAGACUAUAAGAGGGGUGGCCUGCAUCAGUAACUGUCUGUGUUCCUAUUGUCUGUCCAGACCCUCUAUGCCUAUCUCUCUCUCUUGCUGUAUUUUGUUUUUUUAGUGAUCUUUCUCCUUUCAUGUAAGAACUCUAUGAAUCAUUUCUGGUAAUGGAAACGGGGGCCAUGCAGCCCUUGAUAAAAAAAAAAGCAUAUGAUCACGAUCUGUGUGGUGAAAACUUCUGUUAUUGUCGCAAACAAGGGUUUGUGCUUUGUUAUCCUAACCACUAUAAAAUGGAAAGAAAUAUUUCUUUGGUUACUGCUAACCUAUUUGUUAUGCGGACGAUAGUGAUCGAUUGGUUAUAUGUCCAAUAUUCUCCCAAUUCCACAUGAUGUAUAUAGCAGGGAUUGCAAUUUCGGAAUGAAAAUUUUGCCCCCACCGACAAGCACAUAUCUUGCUCAAAUUUUUCGGACUUUUUUCCAUUCCUUUUUGAAUUUGGUCAAAUUUAUUCAAAUUCAUUUAAAAUUUGUCAAAUUUUCAAAUAAUUUCGGGAAAAAAACACCGAAAUUAUCGAAAGUUCAGUGCCCACUAAAAUUCUGAAAUUUUGCUGGAAAACUGAAGUGUAAACCCUAGUAUAUACUAUAUAGUUAAUUAGUAGCCAUUCUGAUUUGGGAAGGUACUUUAAGCAGUACCGAACAAAGUUUGUCUGAAUUGUACAUGGUUUUGAUGAUUUGGGAGGCACAAGUUUAUCCACAUGAUCAUAUCAUCCCAAAUACAAUUCUAACUUUCUAUGAUACAAAAUAAGAUUAUGUACACAGAUUGAUUUACUUACAAAAUAAAUCCUAAGAUUUACUCGAUAUAAAUUGGAGUAAUCAAAAGUGACAUGUCUGUCAUGACCCAGGACAAAUUAAAUUAGGGAUCGAUUGGAUAUAAAUAGGAGCAGAAGAGAGCAACCAAUGAAGUAUUCCACGCUCAAGAAAAUAAACAAAGCAACAGCCAAAUGUACAGAUGAGCAAGAUCAUCACAUUCAUGUAUAAUAUAAUACACGAACGAUGCUUCUUGCCUAACUAUAUAUGCAGACUCAUGUAGUGAGCAUUCGUUGCACUACCGUUGGCCUUGAGAGGCAUCCGGAAUACAACCUGCUGGGUCGCCCUAUGUUGUAGUGCAGUGAAUUUUGGAAAACGCUGAUGGAAUGAAGUUGAAGGAUCUAUGGAUGAGUGUGUGAUCCGUCCUGCGCUGGUCGUUACUUCCAGCAAACAUGGUAUGAUGACAGAUCCAUCCAUGAACUCUUGCCUUCCCUGUUCCAGAUAUCCUUUGAUACCGGCUACCAACAGGCAGGGUUUGUGUUUUGUCCUAAGCACUGGAAAACAGAAACAUAUGCUUGUACUAUCUGUCCAGCUAACCUGUUUGUGCCAACAAUUGUGAAAAUCUCCUAGCCUUUCCACAUGGGAACUGUACAUGCUUGUUCAUGUUCUGCAUGAUUUGGGAAGAAUAUCAAAUUCUAUUAAAUUACACCAUGGUUUUCCUUUCUUGAUAUGUGUGUUGAUGUGCCUACUGCCUAGUGCUAAUUGAUAUAGCAUGGUAUUUUCCAUAUAAAUUCAGAUUCAGGCUUUGCACCUUAACACUUUGGCAGUGUAGUUUUGGAGAGAGGACAUAUAAAUCAGAUAAAUAUGUUUCCUGUUAUCUUAAUGGAAACCUCUCUAUGAUCCAUAUAUGCUUAUCAUGCAUUCCAUCACCUUUUUUUUUCUUUGAGAACUACAUGCACAUCAACUGAGGGGUGAUUGAGAAUGUGAGGCAUCUGGAAUCCAGUUUUGUCAUAUUUGGUCCUAAGCACUGCUUGCUCGAUGUGAGGCUGCAUGCAUACUGGUAUGGUAUGUCUAUUAGACCACUCUGCUUCGACUCGGCCAGCAGAGGAAUGGGGACAUCUGAGACAACUAAAAACAGGGAAAUAUCUUUUGGAAUCGUCCAGCGUUUGAGCUAGUGUAAGGUCGAGGAGUUUAGCUUACUUUUCUUUUUAGCCAUUUGAAAGAACUAGGCGUUUGCAUGACGGAUAUUUGUUAAGCAGAAAACUUCCGACCUUCCGAUCUUUUUUUUAAGAUAAUGGAUAAAAUCGAUCCGGUCUUUACUUUAGCAAAAGUUAUAAUUACAUACCCUCUCUGUCCAAAAAAAAAUCAACUUAUAUGAAUAUAGGUCACAUCUCCUUCUAUGUUGAUUUUUUUUUGAUAGAGAGCGUACUACAUAAUUCUUGGCUAAAAACCAAGUAUAACAAUUUCUAACAAUGGAUAAAGAGACGACACGAUAAUAAACCAUAUUUUAACAUAAAGUGGGGUUUUCACUUUUUCUUUAAGAAAAGGAUGGGUUUUCAAAGAAUAGCAUUAUAGACGCAGCAUCAUCUAUCAUGGUGGAAAUUAAUUCUCUCAGUCGCCUCAUUAACUAUACAUUGGGGUUAAUCAACUAAUCUAUACCUAAAAAAAUACAUAAGGUUUCCGGUAUUUUUUUCGUCCGUCACUUUUUUCGCUAUUUUUUUCUUCCUUUCGUCCGUCACUUUUUCCGCUGUUUUUUUUCUUUUUUUCGUCGUUUUUUUUUUCUUUUUUUCUUCUGUCUGCCCUUUUCUUUUUUCUUUUUUUUCCCAUCCGCCUUUUCUCUUCUGUCUUUUUUUUUCGCCCUUUUUUCGUCUUUUUUUAGUUGCAUUUUUUCCCACGCCACGCGUUAGGGAUUCGUUUUUUUAUGUGGCCGGUUUUCUUAGUCGGGCCGAACUCGCGCUGUAGCUAUAUACCUCCUUAUGCGUGAUCAGUUCCAACAUUGUCGUGUCUUUCAUAGAUUGAAGACGGCUGGGCCUACAGUUUCACUUAUGAGCUAGGUCAAAGAGAGGCAAGCCAAGUAGACACUUGUGGACUAGCAAACACUUGUGGACUAGGUUAAAGAGAGGCAGGCCAAGCAGAUGGAUGCAGUGGGCUGGGCUAGGACUGAAAGUAUGCGAUCCAAAAAUUGCUUUUAUCUAUUGCAACGCACGGACAUUUUUUCUAGUCUCGAUUGAAUUAACGAAGAACAAUUUGUAGUAUUACGCGUCUUUGUACUGUUUAGGAUAGUAGACAAUAUGCUACAAGUGAAAUCAAGAACAUAUCCGCAGUAGGCCAUAAAAUUUACUUAAUUGGUCUGGUCCUUUACAUCAGUAUCUAAAAACAACAAAGUGAUGCUAGCUACUACACUCUGCACCGUGCCAAUUAAUUUUGCUCCUGAUCGAAUAACAAUAACUCAAUCCAUGUGCUCUUCAUAAUCCAUGCAUAUAUAUACCGAGAACCAUCAGAAGCCAUGACACAUGAUGUAACCAUCACACACUGCAUAUAAGUUGAGGCAUUGCAACUUAAUUAGCAAUUUAUUGGCAGUGUAGUUUGGAGAGAUGGCAGAUCACAUAGACAUAUAUAUGGUUUCUUUGGGAGGAGCUUGUUUACUGCAAUCCUAGUAGAGACCAAAUUAACGAGUAGUACUAAUCAAGGUAAUCAUGCAUGAAAACCUUGGGGGCAAUUGAGCAUGUGGGGCAUCUGCAAUCCAGUUUUGUCGACACUGUCAUUAACAACUGUUUGAUGAUCGAUGUGAGCUUGAACCCCAGUAUCAAUGCGUGGUUAUUUUGUGCUACAUAAAACCCCCACAAAUAUGAAACAGUGAUUGGAGAAUGAAAUUUGAACUAGUGUUAAAUUAAACCAGCUAUAUUUCAUAGGAAGUUGGGAUGUCUCGUACGUUUGUCUCAUAGAACACUAUGCUUCAGCAGGUUGGACAAGGGAAGAGUGGAGGAGACAUGCGGAUCCAGCUUAAAACGUUGAUACAUAUGUUGUCUGGAAUUUUGACCUUGGAAGGAAUUUAGCUCAAUUUUCUUUUAUCCGUUGAAAAGUGUGCUCUCGUUGGUAAUGAGUUUAUUGAUGGCACCUGAUAAUAUGCUGAUUUUAUUUGUUGGGAUGGUAAUCCAAGCUAAUCUUACUCUUAAUCAUCUUUCAAUAUAAGCUGUUUUUUUUUUAAAAAAAGAAAUGACGAAAUUUCAAAGAAAUAGCAUUAUAGUCGCAGAACACUUCGAUCAUAGUGACCAGUGAUCGAGUCAAAUAAACUUCUCCGGCCCACUUAAUUAACUAGAUAUGGGGUUAAUUACCCAAUCCAUAUUGAGUGAUGAAGAAAUUUAGGUACCAAGCAUUUUCUUUAGAACAAAUUAAACAUGAGUAUUAGCUAGAAUUAUUCUAGGAUAAAAAAACCCAUGCUAGUCCUUCGAGUUGCAACAAAAAAUAUGGGUCCCACAUGUCGAGAGAGGCCCAUCACAACCAUUGGUAGUGAUCUAUCUAGGCCCAAUUUACUUCCUCCGCGCAUAAGGUUUCCACAUAUUCCUCUCACACAUAAGGUGUCUAUGGGCCCAAACUUUUGGCCCUUUAUCGGGAGGGUCUAGAAAAGCCACUAACCUCGAGUGGGUCCAUAGUACCAGCAAGAAUUGAGUCGAUGCCAUUAGUAUGUUGUGAUCCAAUUUGAACUGUUCAUACUAGGCUCGGAAGCUUAAUUGGACCUAUCUACUCAAUAGGGAGGAUAGCCCGUCACAUACCUGGUGCAAAGGAUUGAAUAAAACUAGAGGGAAUAGAGCAACCAUGAAGUAUCCCGGUUCCCAGGAAACUAUAAUAUUAUAGACAUAUCGUGCAUUUUAGAUAUAGGUGGUUCAACUGACAUAAUUAUUUUAGCACCUUAAAUAUAAGAAGACAAUACACAAUAAAAGUAUAUAAUUGAUCAAAAGUGCAUCAUGAUAUACUCCCUCCGUUUCUAAAUAUUUGACACUGUUAACUUUUUAGCACAUGUUUGACCGUUUGUCUUAUUCAAAAACUUUUGUGAAAUAUUUAAAAAUAUACAUCUAUAUGUAUAUAUAUAAGUAUAUUUAACAAUGAAUCAAUUGAUAGGAAAAGAAUUAAUAAUUACUUAAAUUUUUUGAAUAAGACGAACGGUCAAGCAUAUUUAAAAAAGUCAACGGCAUCAAAUAUUUAGAAACGGGGGAGUAUUAAUAAGCAACGUGCUAAUUGACACUCGGGAUUUUUUUUAUUGUUUCUCUUUCUAAGAAUAUAUUUUUCUCUUUUACUUAUAUGGGUUUUUGGUUACGCAAUUUAUUUUUGGAUGGUCACAGGACCACAUGGACCACCCACUAGAUACGCCGAUCAGCCUAUGUAUAGCAACCAACAAGAGAACGUAGAGAUGGACAAGAUCAUGACAUUCAUAGAGCCAUAGAUACAUGCAUGUGGUGCUUCUUGCCUGGAGUAUGAGUGUAGCAGUAGCAUAGGGAUGUGUUUGGUGACUCAUGUAGCAGGCAACAUGUCUUGAAACCGUGGGCAUGAGAGGCAACAGGGAUCCAGCUAUGUGACUCAUCCUAUGGAGAGGCACAGUGAUUUGUCUUUAGAGUUUCGAAAAAAGAGAAUCCACUCAGUACUACUGAGUUUAUCGCACUUCUACAAUCUACCACUGAAACGGGCUAGCAGGAUUAAUGAGUGUGUAUUCUGUGUAUCGACAUCGUGAUCAACAACCAUGAACGAUGACAGAGUUGUACAUUUUUUCUCACCUUCUCUGCUGAUCUACAUGUCGCACCAAACUCAUAGUUUCUUAACUAAGCACUUUAAAACAUAACCAGUUAGUACUGCUUCUGUUUAAAUUAUUUGGCUACCGCUAACCUAUUCAUUGUACAAGUGAUCGAUGGUGAAUGAUUGAUUAUAUGUACAACUACGACUACCAGAAACUGAAAUUCUCCUGACGGUCGCUAAUCUUUUACUGACGUGUAUGCAUCCACCUAUCAGUUUUAGCCGUAAGAAGUAUUAGUACGUAGCUUAUGGGAUAUAUUUUCUAUUUAUGUACCCACAGUAAUUUGAUUGUGAUGUAGCUUUACGAUAAAAGUAAAAAAACAAAUUAGUUUGAACUAUAGUGCAUGUUUGUUGAUGUGUUGUGCCGUGUUCGGGAAGAAUGCCAUGCAUAUUCUCACUACGCUGGACCCUCCCACCAUUGACGGGCCCAUGUCAUCACCUUUGACGGAUUUAGCCCUCGUCAGAGAUUAGUGAUCACUGAUGACUGCACCUCACCUCUGACGGGUGAAAAGCCGUCAGUGGUGAUUAACACCUUUGACGGGCCACAUAGAAAUAGCCCGUCACAGGUGAGAAUCACUGUGACGGGUGACUCUUUCCAGCCCGUCAAAGGUGACAUAUACCUCUGACAGGUCUAAUUUAUCACCCGUCACAGGUGUGAAAAAUCAUCCAAAAAAAAAAAUUCAAAAGCCCUCAGCCCUCAGCCACCAGCCCCCAGCUCACGACAUGAAGCAAAAGAUGCAAGAUUCAUCUCAAGAUGCAAGACAACAACUUUGCAUUUUAUUGGCAGAUCUGAUAACAUCAGAGAAACAAUAUAGAUCACACAACUUAAGUAACAAUAUAUAUCACAGUAGUAAUGAUCUGCAUCUUAACAAACUAGACAUCCACACAAACAACACAGAAUAUGGCCCAAUCUAAAAUUUGGCAAUGAACAUUUGCAAGAUAAGAAAAAUCAAGCACAACCUACAAGAGUCAGAAAUGGCGGUGGCGCUCGUGGGUGAAGGAGACGGUGGAGGACGCCGAUGGUCGGGGGGAGAGGGCGUGGACACCGGCGGUUGGGGGAUGGAGGCUGCGGUAGCCAGAUCCACGUACCAGAACCCCGUGGAGGCCGGAUCCAGUGGCGGCUGUUGGGUGGGCGUUGGAAGGCGACGCGGGCGGAUCCGAGGUUUGUGGGCGUAGAAGCUGGUGGCGCCGUCGAUGGAGGCGGUCGCUCGUCGUCUUCAUCGCAGCCGCCGUCAACAUCGUCGUCGUCGUUGUCGCAGCUACCGCCACCAUGGCCGCUCGCUCCUGCCUGCCUAAGCCCGCCGCCGCCACUCCCGAGGGCGGAGACGGGCAGAUCUGCUGCCUCCCGAGCCACCGCCGCCUCCCCUCCCGUCGGAUCUGGCGGAGGGGAGGGCGCCACCGCUGCCGCCGUCGGGCCGCCACCGCCUCCCUUCCCUCAGUCGGGCCUCCAGAUCUGGCGGAGGGAAGGCGCUCCCACCAUCCACGCCGUUGCACCUCCACGCCGUCCGCCACCACCACGCCUCCCUUCCCGCGCCUCCCCUCUCGCCCCUGCCGGAUCUGACGGGAUGGCGCCGCCGCCCCUGCCAGGCAGGCGCCGGCGCCGCUGCUACACGCACAGAAAUGGAGAAAGGGAGAGAGAACUCGAGAGAAAUGGAGAAAGAGAGAGAGAAAACAACCUUAUCUCUUCUGAGUGUGGGCCCCGCCAGGAGAAGAAAUAUCUUCUCCAACUCGGCUUGGGAAGGUAGGUGACGGCUUCGAGUAUAUAUAGUGGGAUAACUCACCUCAAACGGUUUAGGGUUUGAACCCGUUUGAGGUGAGUAAACCUCACCUCUGACGGGCCAUCCGGUUGCAACUCGUCACAGGUAACUAGUCACCUGUGAUGGACCGGAAGUAGAAACCGUCAGAGGUGAGGAUUAACUCACUUUUGACGGGUUCCGUUUUCGACCCGUCACAGGUGACUAGUUACCUGUGAUGGGUCGCAGCUGAAUAGCUCACCGAUGACGGAAUCUUUUAGAACCCGUCAAAGGUGACCAUCAUCACUGACUACCACUUAUGCCCGUCACAGAUAUGUCGUCACAGGUGUGAGGAUCUGGUGUAGUGUCUAUUCAACUGCACAUGAUUUCCUUGUUUAGUUUGAUGAUUGGUGCUAAUUAAUCUGGUAUUCCAGAUCACAAAACUCCAUUCAAAAUAGAUAACUACCACUCUGUACCGUGGAUAUAUGCUCAUGAAGAAUCUCAAUCCAUGUGUCCUCCAUAAUUCAUAUAUAAAGAGAAUUGUCAGAAGCCAUUACAGUUGACAUGUGAUGUAGCCACCACAGUACCACACACUGCAUAUAAAUUCAGGCCCUAUUUAGAUUCCAACCUUUUGCUUCAAACUUUCAACUUUUCCGUCACAUUGAACUUUUCUACACACACAAACUUUCAACUUUUCCGUCACAUCGUUCCAAUUUCUUCAAAUUUCCAAUUUUGGCGUGGAAAUAAACGCAGCCUCAGGCAUUGCACCUUAGCACUUGGGCAGUGCAGUGAUGUUAUAUAUAUCACAGAGACAUAUGCACACCAUGGGGAAAAUUGAGAAUGUGAGGCGUCCGGAAUUCAGUAUUGUCAACGUUGGCCUUAAACAUUGUGAGCUUGAUGUGAGGUUGCAUAUGAAUUUUGGAUGUCUUGUUCAAGUCUAUUACAGCACUCCGCCUCAGGUAGAAGACAAGUGGAGACAUCUGAGAUGCAACAGUUUUAUUUUAGACCUCCUUUGGGACGUAGUAUUUGAAAAACACAAAAAUGGGAUAAAUGCACGAAUAUGAUGUCAUGCAUUAUUGCAUCCCAAAGGAAAAAAGUCCAGAGGCAUUUGCAAAACAUUUUUUUAACCCGAUAGGAAAAAACAUAGGAAUUCUAGAGACAACUAGGGGAAACCAUGAGUUAAGACCUAAUGUUAGUUUUCCUCCAAAACACCAUGAAAUAGCCCUUUUCAUAGGAAUUUUGAAGGAAUUUUUCAGAGCUAUAUAUUUCUUUGUUCUAAAAGGAUCAUAUAAGAAUUUUUUCCCUAGGAAUUAAAUCCUCUAGUUUUCCUUUGUUCCAAAGAAGUUCUUACCGUUAAAAAAAGUUAGGCACUUGAUGGUAUGCUGAGUAACUUGUUAAGCUGAUAACUCAACCGAUAAUCUUGUACUCUUAGCUUUCAGUACAAGGUCGGGCUUUUUUCUUUCUUUCUUUCUUUCUUUCUUUCUUUUUUUUAAUAGAUGAUUUAAAAGAAAAUUUGGGUGCACCAUAUAUUGAUCGUAGUGAAACUUCUCCCCACAACUUAGUUAACUAUAUCGGGGUUAAUUACUAGAGCAAUAUUGUGCUCUCUACUGAUAGUAUAAUACUACUAGUAGUAUUAAGGAUAAAUCAAUAAUUUACUAAUACAAUCGUUAGGGGUAACUUCGUUAUUUAUGUUUUUAAUUUUCCGGCUAGAUCGAUAUGUGGUUAUCCAUUGCACUGACAUCGCUCAUAUUCCAUCAAAAAGCCAAAAUAUAAGGAAAAAAGUUUAGUUCACUGCUAAACGAUGAUUAUACCCCCUCCACAU